Molecule: ribosomal RNA, 459 nt
Filed under: uncultured bacterium
Lineage: Bacteria
Description: partial 16S ribosomal RNA
Rfam family: Bacterial small subunit ribosomal RNA
Source: RNAcentral
CCUACGGGAGGCUGCAGUGAGGAAUAUUGGUCAAUGGCCGCAGGGCUGAACCAGCCAAGUCGCGUGAGGGAUGACGGUCCUAUGGAUUGUAAACCUCUUUUGUCAGGGAGCAAAGGGCGCCACGUGUGGCGUUUUGCGAGUACCUGAAGAAAAAGCAUCGGCUAACUCCGUGCCAGCAGCCGCGGUAAUACGGAGGAUGCGAGCGUUAUCCGGAUUUAUUGGGUUUAAAGGGUGCGUAGGCGGACGCUUAAGUCAGCGGUAAAAUUGCGGGGCUCAACCUCGUCGAGCCGUUGAAACUGGGGGCCUUGAGGGGGCGAGAAGGACGCGGAAUGCGUGGUGUAGCGGUGAAAUGCAUAGAUAUCACGCAGAACUCCGAUUGCGAAGGUAGCGUACCGGCGCCCAACUGACGCUGAAGCACGAAGGCGUGGGUAUCGAACAGGAUUAGAUACCCUUGUAGUC